ACUUGCCUUCGUCACUCGCAAAGGACCCUGGUGCGAUAGGGUUUCUCGACAAAAAGUCAACAUGUGCCAUUCUUUUCCCUUCUCUAUAUUGAAUAUCAAAUGUAAAUGACUGCAAAAAGGCCCACCAUUGCUGUGUUCUAGGAGUCAAAUCUUGCUUAUUUCUUGACGCCUUCAAUGAGUUACAGUCGGUAAAAACUGUAAAGUUCCUGUCCAACAAAUAAUGUCGAAAAUGUUUAAUGGAGUUUACGACCGCUAAGGUUUCUAACUCAUACGAGUGAUAUCUUGACUCUGCAGCCACUGCAAUUUGCAUCUGUAUGCAGUUCAAUUGGAUAAUUUGGGUCAAAAAUAACAAGAGCUGGCUCAUCAGUAAGUAUAGAAAUAACCUUCUUCCGUAUCUGCUCAUGUUCUGCUUUCCAAUUAAAUUUAUUUUUCUCAGAAGUUAAGAAAUAUAACGGUUUCAUUAACUGCGAAAACCCCUAAUAAACUGCCGGAAAUACGAUGCUAAUUCAAUAAAUCGUCUAAGUGAUGUUACAGAUUGUGGAGGAACAAGGGCUGUUAACGCUACAAUUUUCUGAGGGUUUGGACUGCACUGGACCAGCACUGACACUUAAGCCUAAAUAUUGCACCGAUGUUUUCAGGAAGGAACACUUUGUAAUAUUAAACGAAAAUCCAGCCUCUGUCAGAACAUUUAAAACAAUCUCCAAUCUUUCAAAAGCUUCCUCUAAUGUUGUGGUAGUUAUCAUAAUAUCAUCCAUAUACACGAUAACAUAAGAACAAUUUAACAAUUUAACAUAACAAUUUUCCCUCGAACUAAAUCGCUCGCAUGGACUUAAUCGGUAUGGCCUUCUCUGAACAGUUUUACUAGGAUCGAUCAAUCUAAUUUUCAUUUCACCUACUUUAACUUUAGUGCAUGGUAUUCCUUUGAGAAAACAAUUUGAGUACUUUGCCAACAAUGAAUUUAGUUUUAUUUUAUUUUCUCUGUCAAGUUCUGUAUCAAUAUAAGCUGGCUCACAAAUUAAUUAUUUUGGCUCUUGAAAUCGUAAAUUUGUCUAAUGAAAUGACAAUAUCAAAACCCUGUUUUAGUAUUUCACGUCCAAUAACGAUAUCGUUUUG
Molecule: long non-coding RNA, 1113 nt
Organism: Drosophila serrata
Lineage: Eukaryota; Metazoa; Arthropoda; Insecta; Diptera; Drosophilidae
Source: RefSeq, a predicted model, not a curated record